This is a long non-coding RNA of Acomys russatus (golden spiny mouse), 428 nucleotides long. RefSeq lists it as uncharacterized. The transcript is spliced from 4 exons. NCBI's taxonomy places the organism in Eukaryota, Metazoa, Chordata, Mammalia, Rodentia, Muridae. The record is from RefSeq and is a predicted model, not a curated record.
CUGCCAGGCUUCCCCACCACCACCAUGCUAGACUCUUACCUUCUGGAACUGUAAGCCCCAAAAAAGUCCUGCCUUCUGACUCUAUAUCUGAGGACAAUCUCCUGGAAUGAACUAUUUGGGUUUUAACCAAGUGACUGGGCAUCAGAAACAAUACAUCAUUUAAGACUUCAAGAGGACCUGGCUUGGUUCCCUGCACCCACAUGGUGGCUCACAACUGCCUGAGACUCCAGCUCUGAGAGAUGGGACUCCUUCUUCUUGGCACCUACAUGCAAGUAGGUGUGCAUACAUGCACACGGGAUAAAAAGCACUGGAGACUCCUGGACAGAAACGAGCGCAGCGUUGAACUUGUAGAACUCCUUUGAGAUCUGGAAGGGGUUGAUAGUGGAAGUCGGAGGCACAGACCUGUGCUGCCAAUUACAGCAGCCUGG